This 253-nucleotide ribosomal RNA is filed under the name uncultured prokaryote. RNAcentral describes it as "partial 16S ribosomal RNA". It matches the Rfam family "Bacterial small subunit ribosomal RNA", at positions 524 to 776 of the family's 1533-position model. The record is from RNAcentral.
UACAGGGGGUGCAAACGUUGCUCGGAAUCAUUGGGCGUAAAGAGCGUGUAGGCGGCCAGACAGGUCCGCUGUGAAAACUCGAGGCUCAACCUCGAGAUGUCGGUGGAAACCGUCUGGCUAGAGUCCGGAAGAGGAGAGCGGAAUUCCCGGUGUAGCGGUGAAAUGCGCAGAUAUCGGGAAGAACACCCGUGGCGAAGGCGGCUCUCUGGGACGGUACUGACGCUGAGACGCGAAAGCGUGGGGAGCGAACAGG